CGUGUAGGCGGGUUUGUAAGUCAGGGGUGAAAUCUCCCAGCUUAACUGGGAAACUGCCCUUGAUACUGCGAAUCUUGAGUUCGGAAGAGAGAGGCGGAAUUCCAGGUGUAGUGGUGAAAUACGUAGAUAUCUGGAAGAACACCAGAAGCGAAGGCGGUCUCUUGGCCCGAUACUGACGCUGAGACGCGAAAGCGUGGGGAGCAAACA
This 207-nucleotide ribosomal RNA is filed under the name uncultured bacterium. Its description in RNAcentral is "partial 16S ribosomal RNA". It matches the Rfam family "Bacterial small subunit ribosomal RNA", at positions 568 to 774 of the family's 1533-position model. The record is from RNAcentral.